CAAGGAGGGAGUGAUCCCUUGGGCCCUCCAAACUUUAAAGGUCUCAGAGAGGGGAAGGGACAAAGGAGCAAAGGAGGUUAAGAGUAGCCAGUUCAAUAACAAAAAUACCAUGUGGUGGUCAGAGAAGCCAAAUGAAGAAAUUUCAUAGAGAGAGUAAUGCACUAUGUCAACUGCUACUGUUAAAUAAGAUAAAGACUGAGAACGGACAAUUGUCUUUAACUAUUAGGAAGUCAUCAGUAACCUUGAGAAGGGUUAUUUUGAUAGAGCGAUGAAUGCAAAAGUUUGACUAGAAUGAGCUGGAGAGAGAAAGGGAGAAGAGAACCUGAAGAUAAAUGAAGUUUGCUCAGGAUAUGGUCUAUGUUGAGCAAAAGAUAAAAGGUAGCAGCAGCCACCGACAGAAACUUCUGGCAACCACCAUUGAACAAGAUCAGCCCAAAGAAAACACAAUUCCACUAAAUAUUCUUUGAAGCCCGAUGUACCACUAAUCCCACAG
Leopardus geoffroyi (Geoffroy's cat) is the source of this 493-nucleotide long non-coding RNA. RefSeq lists it as uncharacterized. NCBI's taxonomy places the organism in Eukaryota, Metazoa, Chordata, Mammalia, Carnivora, Felidae. The transcript has 3 exons. The record is from RefSeq and is a predicted model, not a curated record.